Molecule: ribosomal RNA, 253 nt
Filed under: uncultured bacterium
Lineage: Bacteria
Description: partial 16S ribosomal RNA
Rfam family: Bacterial small subunit ribosomal RNA
Source: RNAcentral
UACAGAGGGUGCAAGCGUUAUUCGGAAUUAUUGGGCGUAAAGAGCGUGUAGGUGGUUUGAUAAGUCUGGUGUGAAAGCCCUGAGCUCAACUCAGGAAGUGCAUUGGAUACUGUCGAACUGGAGUACAGGAGAGGAAAGCGGAAUUCCAGGUGUAGAGGUGAAAUUCGUAGAUAUCUGGAGGAACAACAGAGGCGAAGGCGGCUUUCUGGACUGUUACUGACACUAAGGCGCGAAAGCGUGGGGAGCAAACAGG